CCUACGGGGGGCUGCAGUAACGAAUAUUGGGCAAUGAGCGAAAGCUUGACCCAGCGACGCCGCGUGUAGGAGGAAGUCCUUCGGGAUGUAAACUACUGUCAGGGGGAAGAAAGUCCGUUUCGGCGGAUUGAUCUAACCCAGAGGAAGUCACGGCUAACUUCGUGCCAGCAGCCGCGGUAAGACGAAGGUGGCAAGCGUUGUUCGGAAUCACUGGGCUUAAAGCGUGUGUAGGCGGAAGCGUAAGCGUCUUGUGAAAUCCCUCGGCUUAACCGAGGAAUUGCUUGAUGAACUGCGCUUCUUGAGGCAGGUAGGGGUGCGAGGAACUCUUGGUGGAGCGGUGGAAUGCGUAGAUAUCAAGAGGAACGCCGGUGGAGAAGUCGUCGCACUGGGCCUGUCCUGACGCUGAGACACGAAAGCGUGGGGAGCGAACGGGCUUAGAUACCCCGGUAGUC
Molecule: ribosomal RNA, 452 nt
Filed under: uncultured bacterium
Lineage: Bacteria
Description: bacterial SSU rRNA
Rfam family: Bacterial small subunit ribosomal RNA
Source: RNAcentral